RNAcentral lists this long non-coding RNA (401 nucleotides) under Vitis vinifera (wine grape). RNAcentral describes it as "long non-coding RNA (VVIN_LNC006020)". The record is from RNAcentral. Lineage: Eukaryota; Viridiplantae; Streptophyta; Magnoliopsida; Vitales; Vitaceae.
UUGUGUGCCAGGACCAGAAUGACUCCUUAAGCAUCCAAGUUGAUAAUGCCAACACUGCGAGAGUGGCGGGAGGAGUCUUCAUAACAGAUUACCCCGACAUAGAAUUCUUCAUGCAAAGCUCUUUUCCAGCCACUUUUGUCAACCCUGAAAACGGAAAAGUUGUUAUGGACUACAUAAAGACUAGCUCUGAGCCAAAAGCAAGUAUAGAAUUUUCAAAAACAAUUCUUGGUGCCAAACGCGCACCAAGAAUGGCUACCUACAGCUCCAGAGGGCCGUCUCCAAGCUGCCCAGUGGUCUUGAAGCCCGACCUUACUGCCCCCGGCGCAUUAAUCUUGGCGUCAUGGCCAAAAAUUAACCCAGUGGCUGAUGUGAAUUCGCGGUUACUUUAUAGUGAAUUCAAU